AGAGGUAAACGGGUGGAGUUGAACUGCAUACUCCGUGAAUUCAGCCGGUGAGGAUGUUUUGGGCUCGGUCAAAUGGGUUAGACGUCGGGGUAUGCUGAGUUGCAUGUCUCAAUCAAUUUGGUUGGGAUGCACGCUACGCUCACCAUGCGUUGUGCGCCUCGGUUGUUUAUCUGCCCCCUUGCCGGUGCAUUUUCGCGGAGUGAUCACCACGACCGGCGUGGCUGUCCGGCUGCUUUGGUCGAACUGGCCUUACAUUGUCCUUCGGGCGUUGUUUGGUCGGGAUGGCAGGUAGCUCGUUUGCUUGCUUCGGCUUGCUUUCGAGUGUAAUCAGCUGAUCAGAGUGGGACUGUGCAGUGCGUCGGAGAUGGCGGCUUGUUGUGCGUAUCUGCGUGGCUCAUCUUCCAAGACUGCCUGGUUUGGUUGCUAUGUUGCCUGUCUCGGCAGGUCGAGUGAUAGCCGGGUAGCAUUUGGUUGGUGGUUGCGUGGAGGGCACUUUAACAGGGCCUAAAGUCUGUGGUGUUGUGGUAGACUAUCCACCCGACCCGUCUUGAAACACGGACCAAGGAGAGUAACAUGUGCGCGAGUCAUUGGGUGUUACGAAACCCAAAGGCGCAGUGAAAGUAAAGGAUUGGCUUGUCCAGUCUGAGGUGAGAUCCUGCCGUUACUCACGCGCGGCACCACCGAGCUUGGAGCGGCAGGCGCAUCACCGGCCCGUCCCAUGAUGUAGACAUGGUCUUGUACUGUGCACCGUCGGGGCGGAGCAUGAGCGUACAUGUUGAGACCCGAAAGAUGGUGAACUAUGCUUGCGCAGGUUGAA
This 817-nucleotide ribosomal RNA is filed under the name Phyllodistomum scotti. Its description in RNAcentral is "Phyllodistomum sp. sc IGV-2021 partial large subunit ribosomal RNA". It matches the Rfam family "Eukaryotic large subunit ribosomal RNA", at positions 411 to 850 of the family's 3401-position model. The record is from RNAcentral. Lineage: Eukaryota; Metazoa; Platyhelminthes; Trematoda; Plagiorchiida; Gorgoderidae.